GUGACUAUGGUAUCAAAAGCUUUCUGAAAAUCAAAAAAUAAGAUAACAGUGAAGUUAUCCAAUAGAUCACAAUACUCAACCAAGUCUAGUAACACCAGCCUCAGAUUUUUAGAUAUAUGACUCCCUUUCAUAAAUCCAUUACGCCAUUUCACCACGAUUAUUAACGAGAGAAUCAGAACAUCAGCCCGCGUCCCAGAAAUAGAAUAGUUCUAACAGAAUGCAAUUUAAAGGGUAUUUCAAAACAUGCACAUUCUGUGCUGAGAAUGUUUGUGUCCCUUAGCAACCAAACCAUCCUUGGAUCCUUGAUAGGUGCAAUCUCACUGCAGAAACAGAGAGCUGCAGUCUAGAGCCAGCUGGAACCUGUACAGAAGCUCCAUCCAAUGACACUUCAUAAGAGUGGGUAUGUGUGGUACAUCGGCUACUUCUCGGCCCUUACGGUGUGUGUGUUGGUGCUGACUGUGUCAUGCGUGUUAGUGCACCGCUUCAGAGACAAGCAGAGAGAACAACACACACACUCCUGGGUGGCUGCCGUCGAACAGGGCGCCGUUACCCAGCAUCCUCUACUGCACUGGAUAGAUGUCAACCGUCACUUGUCUCUGUCUGUCAUUGUCAAGGGAGAUGCCAGAGGGAAACAGGAGGAAGAAAGAGAAGAGGGGGAAGAGGGAAAGAAAGAGGAAGGUAGCAAUAGAGACAAAGGAGAGGGAAGAAUGGACAGAGAGAGGGAAGAGGACGGUGGUGUUGAGGUGAUUGGUAGAACAAAGCAAAACAACGGAGGAGAAGAAAGUGAUGGAGAGAGAAGAGAGGGAUGUUAGGGAAGAGGAAGAAGAGAAACAGGAGGAGGUGACUAAGUCAUCA
Molecule: long non-coding RNA, 855 nt
Filed under: Salmo salar (Atlantic salmon)
Lineage: Eukaryota; Metazoa; Chordata; Actinopteri; Salmoniformes; Salmonidae
Description: lncRNA (ENSSSAG00000092992.1)
Source: RNAcentral